AUGACCUCAGAUCAGGCGAGACU
RNAcentral lists this ribosomal RNA (23 nucleotides) under Monoclea gottschei. RNAcentral's name for it is "partial 26S ribosomal RNA". RNAcentral also lists the same sequence under 1 other name. The record is from RNAcentral. Lineage: Eukaryota; Viridiplantae; Streptophyta; Marchantiopsida; Marchantiales; Monocleaceae.